CAGUUUAAAAGGUUUAUGGAAUAUAUUCUCCUUAUAGUUUCAUAUAAAGUCAAGUCCAUAGAUUGAUUCUUCUUUUUUACUUUACUUCUUUAACAAGAUUACAAAGCACAACUGCAACUAGUUAAAAAGAAAAGAUUAAAAGUGAAUUUUAUUGAUGGUCAAGUGGUGGAAGAGCUGAGAAUCAAUGUCGAUGAAGGUUGCAUGGCACGACGAGGACGCCUUUUCCUGCUUCGGCCACGAACUUGAACUGAAGGAGAUGAAGAUGAUGGCGAAGGUGUAUCAGUAGUAGACCUCUCUCUUCUUGAUACACUCGUCAGUUUCUUCGUGUUAGCUUCUGCCUCACAUGUUUUGUCUUGGUUGACUCGAUUGUCCGCGAGCUUGGUCGCGUUUAUGGUUGCAGGAAGUACACAGUUGCAUAUGAAUC
RNAcentral lists this long non-coding RNA (424 nucleotides) under Brassica napus (rape). RNAcentral describes it as "long non-coding RNA (BNAP_LNC006154)". Lineage: Eukaryota; Viridiplantae; Streptophyta; Magnoliopsida; Brassicales; Brassicaceae. The record is from RNAcentral.